Molecule: transfer RNA, 70 nt
Filed under: Parcoblatta fulvescens
Lineage: Eukaryota; Metazoa; Arthropoda; Insecta; Blattodea; Blattellidae
Description: tRNA-Val
Source: RNAcentral
CAGGUUAACUUAAUUAGAUAAGGAUUAUAUUUACAUUAUAGUUUUGACCGUGCAAUUCGGUAUAACUUGA